Molecule: ribosomal RNA, 241 nt
Filed under: uncultured bacterium
Lineage: Bacteria
Description: partial 16S ribosomal RNA
Rfam family: Bacterial small subunit ribosomal RNA
Source: RNAcentral
GAUCAUGGCUCAGGAUGAACGCUAGCUACAGGCUUAACACAUGCAAGUCGAGGGGCAGCGGGAAGUCAGCUUGCUGACUUUGCCGGCGACCGGCGCACGGGUGAGUAACACGUAUCCAACCUUCCCGUUACUCUGGAAUAGCCUUUCGAAAGAAAGAUUAAUACCGGAUAGUAUCGAGAGAUUGCAUGAUUACCCGAUUAAAGAAUUUCGGUCAUCGAUGGGGAUGCGUUCCAUUAGGUUG